GGUUCAAUGGUCUAGUGGUUAUGAUUUCUGUCUCACAUUGAGAUUUGCUGAAGCUUGUCUUCGGUUCACAGAAGGUCUCCAGUUCGAUCCUGGAUUGAACCA
Hebeloma cylindrosporum is the source of this 102-nucleotide non-coding RNA. The record is from Rfam. NCBI's taxonomy places the organism in Eukaryota, Fungi, Basidiomycota, Agaricomycetes, Agaricales, Hymenogastraceae.